UUAAGUUCAGCGGGUAGUCCUACCUGAUUUGAGAUCAAACGUUCAAAAAGCUGUCCUCGCUGAGGAGAGACAUUUAUGAGCUCCAGCGAACCUCCAUCACUGAAGGUUACCUGGUGGAAAACCACAAGCGUAGAUAGUUAUCACACCUGUGAUGCCACCAAACACUGGCAAGCUGAUCGAUUUAAGAGGAGCCGACCAUA
This 200-nucleotide unclassified non-coding RNA is filed under the name Tomentella sp. RNAcentral's name for it is "partial internal transcribed spacer 2". The record is from RNAcentral. Lineage: Eukaryota; Fungi; Basidiomycota; Agaricomycetes; Thelephorales; Thelephoraceae.